Long non-coding RNA from Syngnathoides biaculeatus (alligator pipefish), 564 nucleotides. RefSeq lists it as uncharacterized. NCBI's taxonomy places the organism in Eukaryota, Metazoa, Chordata, Actinopteri, Syngnathiformes, Syngnathidae. The transcript has 3 exons. The record is from RefSeq and is a predicted model, not a curated record.
AGGGCUCUGUCAAUAAAAACCGUGUUGGUGAGAUGCUGCGCCACACCAACACUGGAUGGUUCUCGAUACUUGAUGUAGCACACUUUGGACGAGAAGGACAGAGAGGUGUUGCUGUGGAGGUACAAGGGGAAAGGCAGUCAAGACCAGGCGCAGGCCGCACAUCCGCGGUGUCGCCUGUCCCCACCGCGCCGACGCACGUCGCUCUUACUCGGGCGGGUAUAGCCGCAGCUCCUCGAUGUCCCCUAGAAAGCCGAAGAGAGUGCGCAACUGCUCGCUGCUCACCGCCGACGACAGCGGAGGGGAAAGGAUUCGCUGGCUUCUUCUGACCACUUCCCCGGCAACGUUGAAGUGAGGUACUGCCCCCUGCCGGUGGAGGCCAAGCAUAUUACCACAGUACAUUGUGAUUCUUUCUAAAUACAAAAAAAGCACAUUUUCAACAAAUAACUACUUAUAACGUGGGAAUUUUAUUCCUAAAAGGAUUAUUUAAAAUAUUGUAAGACACUUUUGAAACUGAAACAUUAUCAGUAGCCAAGCAGAGCCGAAAAUAAAGAUAUCUUAAAUGUA